This 441-nucleotide ribosomal RNA is filed under the name uncultured bacterium. Its description in RNAcentral is "bacterial SSU rRNA". It matches the Rfam family "Bacterial small subunit ribosomal RNA", at positions 958 to 1392 of the family's 1533-position model. The record is from RNAcentral.
AACGCGAAGAACCUUACCAAGGCUUGACAUACACCGGAAAGCAUUAGAGAUAGUGCCCCCCUUGUGGUCGGUGUACAGGUGGUGCAUGGCUGUCGUCAGCUCGUGUCGUGAGAUGUUGGGUUAAGUCCCGCAACGAGCGCAACCCUUGUUCUGUGUUGCCAGCAUGCCCUUCGGGGUGAUGGGGACUCACAGGAGACUGCCGGGGUCAACUCGGAGGAAGGUGGGGACGACGUCAAGUCAUCAUGCCCCUUAUGUCUUGGGCUGCACACGUGCUACAAUGGCCGGUACAAUGAGCUGCGAUGCCGUGAGGCGGAGCGAAUCUCAAAAAGCCGGUCUCAGUUCGGAUUGGGGUCUGCAACUCGACCCCAUGAAGUCGGAGUUGCUAGUAAUCGCAGAUCAGCAUUGCUGCGGUGAAUACGUUCCCGGGCCUUGUACACACCG